UGGGGAAUCUUGCGCAAUGGGCGAAAGCCUGACGCAGCGACGCCGCGUGGGUGAUGAAGGCCUUCGGGUCGUAAAGCCCUGUCAAGAGGGACGAAUCCUCGUCGACCUAAUACGUCGGCGACCUGACGGUACCUCUGAAGGAAGCACCGGCUAACUCCGUGCCAGCAGCCGCGGUAAUACGGAGGGUGCGAGCGUUGUUCGGAAUUACUGGGCGUAAAGCGCGUGUAGGCGGCCUCCUCAGUCUGGUGUGAAAGCCCGGGGCUCACCCCCGGAAGUGCAUUGGAUACUGGGAGGCUGGAGUACCGGAGAGGAGGGUGGAAUUCCUGGUGUAGCGGUGAAAUGCGUAGAUAUCAGGAGGAACACCGGUGGCGAAGGCGGCCCUCUGGACGGAUACUGACGCUGAGACGCGAAAGCGUGGGGAGCAAACAGG
RNAcentral lists this ribosomal RNA (430 nucleotides) under uncultured bacterium. RNAcentral describes it as "bacterial SSU rRNA". It matches the Rfam family "Bacterial small subunit ribosomal RNA", at positions 355 to 776 of the family's 1533-position model. The record is from RNAcentral.